UAUCUCUGUAGAGUCUGCAUAUCAAUAAGCGGAGGAAAAGAAACUAACUAGGAUUCCCUCAGUAACGGCGAGUGAAGCGGGAAGAGCUCAAAUUUGAAAUCUUCAAGGUUCUACCUUGACGAAUUGUAGUUUAAAGAAGUGUUUUCUGUUGGAGUUUUGGUAAAAGUUCUUUGGAAUAGGACAUCAUAGAGGGUGAGAAUCCCGUAUUUGACCAUUAUUUCCAGCUUUGUGAUACACUUUCAAAGAGUCGGAUUGUUUGGGAAUGCAGUCCAAAAUGGGUGGUAAAUUUCAUCUAAAGCUAAAUACUGGCGAGAGACCGAUAGCGAACAAGUACCGUGAGGGAAAGAUGAAAAGAACUUUGAAAAGAGAGUUAAACAGUACGUGAAAUUGUCAAAAGGGAAGCGUUUGACACCAGUGUUGUUUUUCUCGAAAAUCAAUUAAAAAAAGUUGGAUUUUGUAUUGUUAAGACCUUAUCAGCUUACUGUACUCUUUUCUUGCUUUUUUUAAUGCACUUUUCGUUUAACAAGUCAACAUCAAUUUCUUUUGUUGUAAAAGAGUCAUUGGAAGGUGGCUUUCACUUCGGUGAAAGUGUUUAUAGCCUUUGGCUUCUGCAAUCGGAGAGAUUGAGGUCUGCAGCGUAGAUCCUUCGGGGCUAGAUACGUAGAUGCUAAGUUAUAGUUUUUUAUAGACAACUUGUUGACUAUAAUUAAUCAUGUAGCUUACUCGUUUGCGCUAUUUUACCUACGCUUAGGAUGUU
This 757-nucleotide ribosomal RNA is filed under the name uncultured Neocallimastigales. RNAcentral's name for it is "partial large subunit ribosomal RNA". It matches the Rfam family "Eukaryotic large subunit ribosomal RNA", at positions 24 to 627 of the family's 3401-position model. Lineage: Eukaryota; Fungi; Neocallimastigomycota; Neocallimastigomycetes; Neocallimastigales. The record is from RNAcentral.